UACGUAGGGGGGCAAGCGUUGUCCGGAUUUAUUGGGCGUAAAGAGCGUGUAGGCGGCCAGGUAGGUCAGCUGUGAAAACUCGAGGCUCAACCUCGAGACGUCGGUUGAAACCAUCUGGCUAGAGUCCGGAAGAGGAGAGUGGAAUUCCUGGUGUAGCGGUGAAAUGCGCAGAUAUCAGGAAGAACACCCGUGGCGAAGGCGGCUCUCUGGGACGGUACUGACGCUGAGACGCGAAAGCGUGGGGAGCGAACAGG
This 254-nucleotide ribosomal RNA is filed under the name uncultured bacterium. Its description in RNAcentral is "partial 16S ribosomal RNA". It matches the Rfam family "Bacterial small subunit ribosomal RNA", at positions 524 to 776 of the family's 1533-position model. The record is from RNAcentral.